Molecule: long non-coding RNA, 738 nt
Filed under: Citrus sinensis (sweet orange)
Lineage: Eukaryota; Viridiplantae; Streptophyta; Magnoliopsida; Sapindales; Rutaceae
Description: long non-coding RNA (CSIN_LNC005726)
Source: RNAcentral
UUUUUUUUUUCCCCAAAUCUUUUUUCGGACUCUCCAAAGUAAAAUUUUAACCCAAAUCCCAAAACAAGAGAAAGAAAUUUUUUUUAAAAAAAAAAACUUAGUAAACUCUGUUACUCUGUGUAUACUACUCAUACAUAUUUAUUGAUCCCUUAAAUUAUUAUUUAUUUGUUUUUUCUUGUCAUGGUUGUAUUCACUCUUUUGAAUACAUUCUUGUUCUUUCAAAUAUAAGCUGAAAAAGAUCCUUUUUUUUUUUGUUGCUUCACUCGUUUUCCUCUAAAUAUUCCGAACUUUAAUUGGUGCAUGUGCGAGUUAUAUAGAGAGUGAAAAAUGGCAAGUGCAUCUGGGCUGUUUACACCUUCAGUUCCAAGCUUGAGGAGGAGGGUUCAGCCUUCAACAUGGAUAUAUCGAUCUGGGUUUUGCUUCUCUCAGGGAACCUUUAGGAGGGUACUGUGCUCCAGCACCAUUGCUGGUUCUGAGAAGAGUUUGUCUUCUUCCGAAUCUAGAGCACCCAGGUGAUUUUUUGUUUUCCCCCCGUUUGUUUCUCUAUGUGAUUCAUUGCUUCUUUCUUUCUGCUUUGGUAGUCAAAAUGGGUGUUCAAUGCUAGUAGAUUCGUUUUUGUUUAGUUUUUAGCUGGUGAAAGGUGGUUGUUUAAUGGGCUUUGGACCUCGUUGCUUAUAAAGGUUUGUUAUAUUGUUGAAUGAAGUAGAAAUUUUAUUGCUGUAGAUUUUUUUUUUUUUU